AAGAUUUUAAGUUAAUUUAAACUAGUAGCCUUCAAAGUUAAAAAUACUUUAAGGGUAAAUCUUA
This 64-nucleotide transfer RNA is filed under the name Mitjaevia shibingensis. RNAcentral describes it as "tRNA-Trp". The record is from RNAcentral. Lineage: Eukaryota; Metazoa; Arthropoda; Insecta; Hemiptera; Cicadellidae.